RNAcentral lists this ribosomal RNA (439 nucleotides) under uncultured bacterium. RNAcentral's name for it is "partial 16S ribosomal RNA". It matches the Rfam family "Bacterial small subunit ribosomal RNA", at positions 338 to 795 of the family's 1533-position model. The record is from RNAcentral.
CCUACGGGGGGCAGCAGUGAGGAAUUUUGCGCAAUGGGCGAAAGCCUGACGCAGCGACGCCGCGUGAACGAUGAAGUCCUUCGGGAUGUAAAGUUCUGUCAGCAGGGAAAAUAAUGAUGGUACCUGCAGAGGAAGGCCCGGCAAACUAUGUGCCAGCAGCCGCGGUAAUACAUAGGGGCCAAGCGUUGUCCGGAAUUACUGGGCGUAAAGGGCGCGUAGGUGGCAAGCCAAGUCAGAAUUUAAAGACAGAAGCUCAACUUCUGUGCGGUUCUGAUACUAGCUUGCUUGAGGUUGGGAGAGGAAAGCGGAAUUAACAGUGUAGCGGUGAAAUGCGUAGAUAUUGUUAAGAACACCCGUGGCGAAGGCGGCUUUCUGGACCAAACCUGACACUGAGGCGCGAAAGCGUGGGGAGCAAACAGGAUUAGAUACCCGGGUAGUC